This 507-nucleotide ribosomal RNA is filed under the name uncultured bacterium. Its description in RNAcentral is "partial 16S ribosomal RNA". It matches the Rfam family "Bacterial small subunit ribosomal RNA", at positions 28 to 507 of the family's 1533-position model. The record is from RNAcentral.
GACGAACGCUGGCGGCGUGCCUAAUACAUGCAAGUCGAACGCAUUUUCUUUCACCGUAGCUUGCUACACCGACAGAAAAUGAGUGGCGAACGGGUGAGUAACACGUGGGUAACCUGCCCAUCAGCGGGGGAUAACACUUGGAAACAGGUGCUAAUACCGCAUAAUUCCAUUUACUGCAUGGUAGAUGGAUGAAAGGCGCUUUUGCGUCACUGAUGGAUGGACCCGCGGUGCAUUAGCUAGUUGGUGGGGUAACGGACUACCAAGGCUGCGAUGCAUAGCCGACCUGAGAGGGUGAUCGGCCAAACUGGGACUGAGACACGGCCCAGACUCCUACGGGAGGCAGCAGUAGGGAAUCUUCGGCAAUGGACGCAAGUCUGACCGAGCAACGCCGCGUGAGUGAAGAAGGUUUUCGGAUCGUAAAACUCUGUUGUUAGAAAAGAACAAGGAUGAGAGUGGAAAGUUCAUCCCUUGACGGUAUCUAACCAGAAAGCCACGGCUAACUACGUG